Molecule: ribosomal RNA, 329 nt
Filed under: uncultured eukaryote
Lineage: Eukaryota
Description: partial 18S ribosomal RNA
Rfam family: Eukaryotic small subunit ribosomal RNA
Source: RNAcentral
CCCUUAGAUGUUCUGGGCCGCACGCGCGCUACACUGAUGCAUUCAACGAGUCUAAAACCUGCUCUGAUAGGGGUGGGUAAUCUUUUGAAUGUGCAUCGUGAUUGGGAUAGAUGAUUGCAAUUUUUCAUCUUCAACGAGGAAUGCCUAGUAAACGCAAGUCAUCAGCUUGCAUUGAUUACGCCCCUGCCCUUUGUACACACCGCCCGUCGCUCCUACCGAUUGAAUGAUCCGAUGAAUAUCAUGGAUUGAGGAUUAUAGCAGGUUCGCCUGUCUUGAUCUUCGAGAAGUGAAGUAAAUCUUAUCAUUUAGAGGAAGGAGAAGUCGUAACA